This is a small nucleolar RNA of Takifugu rubripes (torafugu), 131 nucleotides long. Ensembl annotates it as small nucleolar RNA SNORA14. Lineage: Eukaryota; Metazoa; Chordata; Actinopteri; Tetraodontiformes; Tetraodontidae. The record is from Ensembl.
CAGCAUCCUCACAAACCCCCCAGCUGCAGCCUGUGGCUCCUGGGACAAGAGAGGGUGCAAGAUCAACGUUAGAAUCAUCCAAAACUGAGGGCCGAGCCGUCGCUCCCAGUUAUUUCACCUCUAAAACAGAA